UGGGAGUGAGAAUGUUGGCAUGAGUAGCGAGAUGUGGGUGAGAAUCCCACAGGCCGUAAACCCAAGGUUUCCAGGGGAAGGUUCGUCCGCCCUGGGUUAGUCGGGACCUAAGCUGAGGCCGAAAGGCGUAGGUGAUGGACAACAGGUUGAUAUUCCUGUACUACCGAUAACCGUUUGAGAGAAGGGAUGACACAGUAGGAUAAGCUAAGCACACUGUUGGUUAUGUGUGCCCAAGCAUUGAGGCAGUCAAAGUAGGCAAAUCCGCUUUGAUAAUGCUGGGAUGUGAUGGGGAGCGAAAUUUAGUA
Molecule: ribosomal RNA, 305 nt
Filed under: Clostridioides difficile
Lineage: Bacteria; Bacillati; Bacillota; Clostridia; Peptostreptococcales; Peptostreptococcaceae
Description: partial 23S ribosomal RNA
Rfam family: Bacterial large subunit ribosomal RNA
Source: RNAcentral